AGAGUUUGAUUCUGGCUCAGGACGAACGCUGGCGGCGUGCCUAACACAUGCAAGUCGAACGAGGUCCAUCCUUCGGGAGAAGACCUAGUGGCGAACGGGUGAGUAACACGUGAGGAACCUGCCCCGAAGACCGGGAUAACCCUCCGAAAGGAGAGCUAAUACCGGAUACCCCCACUGGACCGCAUGGUCCGGUGAGGAAAUGGAUUCCGCUUCGGGAGGGCCUCGCGGCCUAUCAGCUAGUUGGCGGGGUAACGGCUCACCAAGGCAUCGACGGGUAGCUGGUCUGAGAGGACGAUCAGCCACACUGGGACUGAGACACGGCCCAGACUCCUACGGGAGGCAGCAGUGGGGAAUCUUGCGCAAUGGGCGAAAGCCUGACGCAGCAACGCCGCGUGGGGGAUGAAGGCUCUCGGGUUGUAAACCCCUUUCAGCAGGGACGAAUCAAGACGGUACCUGCAGAAGAAGCCCCGGCUAACUACGUGCCAGCAGCCGCGGUAACACGUAGGGGGCAAGCGUUGUCCGGAUUUAUUGGGCGUAAAGAGCUCGUAGGUGGCUGAGUAAGUCGGAUGUUAAAUCCCCAGGCUCANNNUGGGACACCACCCGAUACUGCUCUGGCUAGAGUCCGGUANNGGAGCGUGGAAUUCCUGGUGUAGCGGUGNNNUGCGCNNNUAUCAGGAGGAACACCAGCGGCGAAGGCGGCGCUCUGGGCCGGUACUG
RNAcentral lists this ribosomal RNA (717 nucleotides) under uncultured bacterium. RNAcentral's name for it is "bacterial SSU rRNA". It matches the Rfam family "Bacterial small subunit ribosomal RNA", at positions 8 to 742 of the family's 1533-position model. The record is from RNAcentral.